This 18-nucleotide unclassified non-coding RNA is filed under the name Chlamydomonas reinhardtii. RNAcentral's name for it is "small RNA Cre_1659". Lineage: Eukaryota; Viridiplantae; Chlorophyta; Chlorophyceae; Chlamydomonadales; Chlamydomonadaceae. The record is from RNAcentral.
GCACCGGCACGGGCGACG